Molecule: ribosomal RNA, 761 nt
Filed under: Prevotella melaninogenica
Lineage: Bacteria; Pseudomonadati; Bacteroidota; Bacteroidia; Bacteroidales; Prevotellaceae
Description: bacterial SSU rRNA
Rfam family: Bacterial small subunit ribosomal RNA
Source: RNAcentral
GAUGAACGCUAGCUACAGGCUUAACACAUGCAAGUCGAGGGGAAACGGCAUUAAGUGCUUGCACUUUUUGGACGUCGACCGGCGCACGGGUGAGUAACGCGUAUCCAACCUUCCCAUGACUAAGGGAUAACCUGCCGAAAGGCAGACUAAUACCUUAUGGUCUUCACUGACGGCAUCAGAUGUGAAGUAAAGAUUUAUCGGUUAUGGAUGGGGAUGCGUCUGAUUAGCUUGUUGGCGGGGUAACGGCCCACCAAGGCAACGAUCAGUAGGGGUUCUGAGAGGAAGGUCCCCCACAUUGGAACUGAGACACGGUCCAAACUCCUACGGGAGGCAGCAGUGAGGAAUAUUGGUCAAUGGGCGAGAGCCUGAACCAGCCAAGUAGCGUGCAGGAUGACGGCCCUAUGGGUUGUAAACUGCUUUUGUAUGGGGAUAAAGUCAAUCACGUGUGAUUGUUUGCAGGUACCAUACGAAUAAGGACCGGCUAAUUCCGUGCCAGCAGCCGCGGUAAUACGGAAGGUUCGGGCGUUAUCCGGAUUUAUUGGGUUUAAAGGGAGCGUAGGCUGGAGAUUAAGUGUGUUGUGAAAUGUAGACGCUCAACGUCUGACUUGCAGCGCAUACUGGUUUCCUUGAGUACGCACAACGUUGGCGGAAUUCGUCGUGUAGCGGUGAAAUGCUUAGAUAUGACGAAGAACUCCGAUUGCGAAGGCAGCUGACGGGAGCGCAACUGACGCUGAAGCUCGAAGGUGCGGGUAUCGAACAGG